AUGAAUAGUAAUGGCAGGUCAGUGAACUCGGAUAAUUAUAAUGGUAUAGAUCCAAUUAAAAAAAAAGUCUGCAGGCUCCGCCGCCUCGCGGCCCUCCGGCCGCCGCCAUCGCCGCGUGCGGCCGCUUCUGUGGAGGCGGGGGCGGCCUCCUAUUCCUCCAAGUCCACCUCCAUCCCUCAGAAGCAGCAGCGCGUCCGCGACCACGCCUUCGACGGCAUCAUGGAGGUCCAGAAGCGCGUCCGCCGCUUCCACGCCCUCCACUCCCUCCUCCUCUACGCCGCCGCCCCGACCGCGGCCUCCCGCGGCGGCGGAAGCGGCGCCGUGUCCGUCCCCUUCACCCGCCUCGGCGCCCUCGCGCGCCGCCAGCUCCGCCUCGCGCCCCUCGACGCCGGCCGCUUCCUCUUGCGCCACGCGCACGCCUUCCACCUCUUCCUCCACCCCGUCCACCGCAUGCUCCACGCCCGCCUCACCCCGCGCGCCGCCGCGGCGCUCCGUGUCGAGGCCGAGGCUGUCGCCGCCGCCCUCCGUUCCGCGUCCGUCAUCCGCCUCCGCAAGCUCCUCCUCCUCGCGCCCCCGCGCCGCCGCCUCCGCCUCGAGCACAUCCACCUCCUCCGCCGCGACCUCGGCCUCCCCUAUGAUUUCGCCGAAUCUGUUAUCCAGUCCAACCCCUCCCUCUUCCGCCUCACCCCCGAUGGCUACGUCGAGUUCCUGCCCUCCCCCACAGACCCGCCCGACCUCACACCGUCACCGCGGUCGAGCGCGCUCGGGAGCGCCACUACCGCGAGCACCGCGCACCCGGCUCAGGCGAGGAGGAUGCGCGUUUUGCGUUCCCCAUCCGCUUCCCGCCUGGGUUUAAGAUCGGCAAGUACUUCCGGAUUGCUGUCUGGAAAUGGCAGCGCCUCCCCUACGCGUCACCCUACGCGGACGUCUCGGGACAUGACCUGCGCUCACUUGAGGCUCAACGCCGCAUGGAGAAGCGAGCGGUUGCUGCCGUCCAUGAGCUGCUCUCGCUCACUGUCGAGAAGCGCACUACACUGGAGCGCCUUGCGCUGUUCCGGGAGGCACUCGGUGUGCCCAAGAAGAUCAAGGAAUUCUUGCUCAAGUAUCAGGGCAUAUUUUACAUAUCCACCAGGGGAAAUCAGGGGAAGCUGCAUACAGUGUUCCUUAGGGAGGCGUAUUACAAGGGGGAGCUUCUUGAGCCAAAUGGGAUACACGAGGCAAGAAGGAAGCUGGAGGAGCUGCUCAUGAUCAGCCCACAGAAGGCGAAUUUGGACCCGAUGUUCACCAGCAUGGGUCGUGGAUGGGAUGAGCUUGGUGGUGGUCGCUGUGGUGGAGCUCAAUUGAGGGACGAGUUUCUUGGGAAUGGAGGUGGACAGAAAAAGCAUGCUGAUACUGAUGGUGCUGAUAGUGGGGAGGACUCGAGUGUUGAAUCACUCUACAUUGGUUGAGGAAUAGAAACAUAUGGUGGCAUUGGGCAUCGACUUGGAAGGGAACAAUCACUGCCCCCAUUUGGGGAAAGGUUAACUUCAUGUAUUGGUAACAUCACUCUACAUCUGAUUGGAAGUCUCCAAAAGGAGCAGAGUCUAAGGUGAAAACUGAUGGCACCUUGAACUGGGGGGAAGUGAAAACCCUAUGUGCUAUAAUGGUUGGAUGGCUCCUCCCCUUGCACUCCAUCAUGUGAAGCAUGCGAAGACAGAUUUCAGGGGCAGGAGAACACCUUUCAGAACUCAGAGCUUUUGCUUCUAAGCUUAAUUGGUUAAGUGCUGUGAGUACUCUAUCACAUGGAGUGGAUCUCUAUCUUUGUUUGGCCCACUGAAAACCGGUGUACAUUUAGAAAUUAACAUUAGCUAUUUGAUUGUUGUCUUGAUUCUUCCUUGCACUAUGUAUGCAAACCAUUAAAAUGUUGUGGGUAAUAACACCAAUAGGGAUGUGCUUAUCUGAAUCCACUCAUUAUGAACAGAGUGAAUAAACUAUUGGAAAGGGAAACAAACACAAUAUAGGUACUUCUUUAUUCAUUGAAGUAAAGGGCUAGAGGCAAUCUUUUAUUUCAAAACUAAUCUUUGUCAUGCUACAUUUGCACUGGUUGAAUGAUUGUUUUACAUUACACUAUUGCCUGCCAUUGGUUGUUUUCUUUCUCCCUCCCUCUCUCUCUUGCUAUAUCAUGAGUAACAUAUUUUGGAGGUCCAAUGGUUGGGCCAUAAAAAUUUGUAGAUGUUGAUUUUAAUCUAUCAGUAAUACAUGCAAAGUUUUAGGGGUAACUGUUGGGUACAUUUUUGCUUCCAUAUAGACCAAUAACCUUAUGUUUGGCCCUAUGCCAGUUUUUCUGAUGUAAUCAGAGCUUGUAGAUUGGGCCGGGAUUUAGGUCAGUCCUUGCUAUAUACUUAUGUACUUCGCAGAGGGUUGUUGCAUUUGACUUGCAGUGUUUAUGCGUCACCAUUCAGUUGAUUUGUAUGUCCAAAGCCCAUUGGAAUAGCUGUUUACUGAGCAAGUCUAACCUGAUUGUGAGGUUCAGUUCAGUAGAAGAAAGGCUCAACUCUUGGCUGCUAAUAGCCUAAUACUUCAUCAGCUAAAUGAUGUAAGUCAGUUCUUUUGCUUCAUUUAUACUCUAUACUCAGUAAAAGGAGGUUGCUAUUAUCUGCGAUGCAACUGUAAAUCGACUGAUCAGCAUCAUCAUGCUUGCUAAGUAGCUGACUGAAACCUGCUAAAGAAAUGCUUCUAUUGCACUCAGAGACACUGUAGCUGCACGCCAAACAUACAAACCUACUCGGCUUUAGUGAUCUUUCUGACAUUGGUCCUAUCAUAUAUGUCUACAGCCCCUUGAUUAUCAGCUGGGACUCUUUCACUUUCCUGUUCAAACUAAAGAAUAAUAGAAAAAACCAACAAAUGUUUUGAUCUGAAUGUCAGUGCAAAGCUUGUCGUUGAUGCAGUGAACCGAGCUUUUCGGGACUGAAGGAACAAUCCAUAGACACAGCAGAAGGCCACAAUGAAACCUGAGUACAAACUGUACCUGACUAGUCUAUUCAGUUUGGAACAGAAUGAUGAAGGUUCUUGUAGCACUGCAGUUGGUUUUAUUCAGGUCUGGUCAAGUGUUGGCUUGAAGCCGGAUGUCAUGCUGAUAGGCCAUGGUCAUGGCCUCAUGGGUGGUCUGUGUUGUCACUGUUGGACCUCUGCCCUAUACACUGAGUUGGUGCCCAUAGUCAAUCGACGUGUCUAGUGGUGCUUGUGUUACUCUGUAGUACUAUCAUUUUAAAGGUCCCAACUGCAGCUACAAAAACAAAACCUUAGGGCCAGUAGUUGGUAUAUGAUGUCACGUACAGUUAUCAUGCCUCAGAUUUUCUGGAAAAUAUAAUGUGCCCUAAAGAUGCUGUGAUUUCCAAAAAUUGUUACUCUGAUCACUGCCCUGAAGGUGUGAUUUCCAAAGCGUUGAUUUUUGGAAUUUUUUUAAGCAUGGAUGACAAGCUUGGUUUGCAAAGAUUGUUUUACUGAUUCAUUCAAUAAUACUUGAAUAAUAAUAAUAAUAAUAAUAAUAAUAAUAAUAAUAAUAAUAAUAAUAAUAAUAAUAAUAAUAAUAGCACCGAAUUUCAUUGUAUUUAGACCUAAACUAACUUGCCACUUGACAUUGUCAGGUCUUGCUGCAAAUAGCAAUAAUAAUCUUGGUAUGGUUUGUCAAAAUAUAAUAUUUUUCAGAAUAUAGGUCUUGUUUGCUCUCAAGCUAUGUCCCACCUGUCUACCUGCUACUAUUUUUAGAUGCUAGCGGAUAAUGGUCUAUUUCCCGUUUGAUUUAUUUUUUGGGAGCAGUGGCUGAGGGAUAUUGUCUUGUCCAUCUAUCAGGCUCAAACUUCGUUUUAAUAUGCGAAACUGCAGAAGAUUGAAAUGCACAGAACGGCCCACGUUACGCAUGAUCCAGAUGACACAUCGAGUGUCUUGUUAUAGCGUCUCGCGCAUAGCUAAUCACAUUUCUGGAAUGAUCCACACAAAGAGAUGUGCCAUGUGUUCUGCACGAUAACCAUCAGUUGUGGUGGAGGUUCAUAUAUGUUUCUUAUACUAGCUGGAUUCUCUUGGGGUGACAGGUAUGUUGGAGUUAAGAGCUAAUGGACAUUGUAUGCAGGCUUGUUUGGUGUGGUUUAGAGUAACUGCUGUCACUGUUGAGCCUCCGCAAUUGGUGGCUUGGAUUGAUCCACGGCUAGCAUGGCACAAGCCUACCCCAUCAUUUGAGGUGAUUCAAUGGCAUUAGGCUCUGAUCUGGGAGGCAGGGAGGGAUCAGGAAGCUGACGCGGAUGCCCCGUACCCGUACAGUUUGCGCUGCGGUCAAGGAGGCCAUGGUCGGAGGAUCUCGAGCUCCAGAAAUUUUUAAACAGCAAACCAGUGGACUUUGGUGUUGCCAGCGUCAAUCAAACCUGAUGUAACUUGUGCUGAAUCUUCUUGUUCGCCUGUGAAGAAAUGAAACCCAGAACAAGCUGCUGGUCCAUAGCUGCAUGACUUUUCCCAACCGGCCGUCCCAGGCAGUGAGUGAGUAAUCCUCGUGCCCACGGCCGUCAGAUCGAGCAGUCUGCUGCAGUUGUACUCCAUCGGAUUCCAAGCGUCCGAGUAGCGUGUUGGACUACUGCAACUGGUCAAGGGUGCAUUUGUAAUUGCAUUUGCUACCGCUGAUGCUGCCCGCGGUCCCGGUGCUUGUUGAUGUUUGCCUUCGUGGAUGAACACCUGCAGCUGGCCUGCUGGGCGCGCCCUGGAGUGGAGCUCGGCAGCUCGCAAAGCUCCUGUGCAUGGAUCUAGCUAGUGGGCAGUGGCGAUUUGUGCAGGGAAGCUUGGAACUACUGUUUGUGAACAGCUCACGCGAAUGGUUUUUCUUCUCUCUUUCUGCUCGGGAACUGAAAUACAUGGAUGGAUACCUCCAGUUAUGAAAUGCUAAAAUGGUGUCCCACUAGCUUACAAUGACAA
RNA transcript from Panicum virgatum (switchgrass), 4938 nucleotides. It is a transcript of the gene named protein ROOT PRIMORDIUM DEFECTIVE 1-like, with no coding region annotated. The record is from RefSeq and is a predicted model, not a curated record. Lineage: Eukaryota; Viridiplantae; Streptophyta; Magnoliopsida; Poales; Poaceae. The transcript has 4 exons.